GUGUUUGCUCCAGCAGCACGUGUAAUAAAUUUGGGUCCAUCACAGAAUUCAUGUGGCCCCUACACAGUGAUGACUCACGAAUAAGUAAAGCAUUUCAUAUUUUU
Molecule: small nuclear RNA, 104 nt
Filed under: Cervus elaphus hippelaphus
Lineage: Eukaryota; Metazoa; Chordata; Mammalia; Artiodactyla; Cervidae
Source: RNAcentral